AUACGGAGGAUGCGAGCGUUAUCCGGAUUUAUUGGGUUUAAAGGGUGCGUAGGCUGUGCGUUAAGUCAGGGGUGAAAUGCCGUCGCUCAACGACGGAGCUGCCCUUGGUACUGGCGUGCUGGAGUACGGAUGCCGUUGGAGGAAUGAGUGGUGUAGCGGUGAAAUGCUUAGAUAUCACUCAGAACGCCGAUUGCGAAGGCAUCUGACGAAUCCGUCACCGACGCUGAGGCACGAAAGCGUGGGGAUAGAACAGGAUUAGAUACCCUGGUAUUCCACGCCGUAAACGAUGAUGACUAACCGUCGGCGAUAGACAGCCGGUGGCCAAGCGAAAGCGAUAAGUCAUCCACCUGGGGAGUACGUCGGCAACGAUGAAACUCAAAUGAAUUGACGGGG
Molecule: ribosomal RNA, 393 nt
Filed under: uncultured bacterium
Lineage: Bacteria
Description: partial 16S ribosomal RNA
Rfam family: Bacterial small subunit ribosomal RNA
Source: RNAcentral